This 373-nucleotide ribosomal RNA is filed under the name uncultured bacterium. RNAcentral describes it as "bacterial SSU rRNA". It matches the Rfam family "Bacterial small subunit ribosomal RNA", at positions 523 to 898 of the family's 1533-position model. The record is from RNAcentral.
AUACGGAGGGUGCAAGCGUUAUCCGGAAUCACUGGGUGUAAAGGGUGCGUAGGCGGCCUGUUAAGUCAGGAGUGAAAGGCCACAGCUUAACUGUGGGAUUGCUUUUGAUACUGGCGGGCUUGGAUUAGGACGAGGUUGGCGGAAUGUGGCAAGUAGCGGUGAAAUGCAUAGAUAUGCCAUAGAAUACCGAUUGCGAAGGCAGCUGACUAGACCUAUAUUGACGCUGAGGCACGAAAGCGUGGGGAGCGAACAGGAUUAGAUACCCUGGUAGUCCACGCCCUAAACGAUGCUAACUCGAUGUUCGGCCGUUAGGCGGAGCAUCCAAGCAAAUGCGAUAAGUUAGCCACCUGGGGAGUACGCCCGCAAGGGUGAA